AGUUUGAUUCUGGCUCAGAUUGAACGCUGGCGGGAUGCUUUACACAUGCAAGUCGAACGGCAGCAUCGACUUCGGCCCAGCACAGCGAGCAGAAACGGGGUAGAGUAAUGUAUCGGAACGCCUAGUAGCGGGGAUAACUACGCGAAAGCGUAGCUAAUACUGCAUACCACCUUCUUCGGGAAAGCGGGGAUCUUCGGGCCUCGCACUAUUAGAGCGGCCGAUAUCGGAUUAGCUAGUUGGUGGGGUAACGGCUCACCGAUGGCGAUGAUCCGUAGCUGGUUUGAGAGGACGACCAGCCACACUGGGACUGAGACACGGCCCAGACUCCUACGAGGCAGCAGUGGGGGAAUUUUGGACAAUGGGGAAACCCUGAUCCAGCCAUCCGCAAGAUGAAGGCCUUCGGGCUAAAGCACUUUUGGCAGAAAGAAACGGCACGGGAUAAUACCCCGUGCAACUGACGGUACCUGCAGAAUAAGCACCGGCUACCCACGUGCCAGCAGCCGCGGUAAUGUGUAGGGUGCAAGGUUAAUCGGAAUUACUGGGCGUAAAGCGUGCAGGCGGUUCGAAAGAAAAGAUGUGAAAUCCCAGAGCUUAACUUUGAACUCGCAUUUUUAACUACCGAGCUAGAGUGUCAGAGGGAGGUGGAAUUCCGCAGCGAAAUGCGUAGAUAUGCGGAGGAACGACCGACGGCGAAGGCAGCCUCCUGGGAUAACACUGACGGCUCGCCAUGCACGAAAGCGUGGAGCAAACAGAUUAGAUACCCUGGUAAUUCACGCCCUAAACGAUGUCAACUAGUCGUUGGGGCCUUCGGGCUCUGGUAGCGCAGCUAACGCGUGAAGUUGACCGCCUGGGGAGUACGGUCGCAAGAUUAAAACCUGCGUUAGUUGACGGGGACUCGCACAAGCGGUGGAUGAUGUGGAUUAAUUCGAUGCAACGCGAAAAACCUUACCUACCCUUGACAUGUCUGGAAUCCCGAAGAGAUUUGGGAGUGCUCGCAAGAGAACCGGAACACAGGUGCUGCAUGGCUGUCGUCAGCUCGUGUCGUGAGAUGUUGGGUUAAGUCCCGCAACGAGCGCAACCUUGUCAUUAGUUGCUACGAAAGGGCACUCUAAUGAGACUGCCGUGACAAACCGGAGGAAGGUGGGGAUGCGACGUCAAGUCCUCAGUGGCCCUUAGCGGGUAGGGCUUCACACGUCAUACAAUGGUCGGGACAGAGGGUCGCCAACCCGCGAGGGGGAGCCAAUCCCAGAAACCCGAUCGUAGUCCGGAUCGCAGUCUGCAACUCGACUGCGUGAAGUCGGAAUCGCUAGUAAUCGCGGAUCAGCAUGUCGCGGUGAAUACGUUCCCGGGUCUUGUACACACCGCCCGUCACACCAUGGGAGGUUUUACCAGAAGUAGUUAGCCUAACCGUAAGGAGGGCGAUUACCACGGUAGGAUUCAUGACUGGGGUGAAGUCGUAACAAGGUAG
RNAcentral lists this ribosomal RNA (1468 nucleotides) under uncultured Bordetella sp. RNAcentral's name for it is "partial 16S-23S ribosomal RNA intergenic spacer". It matches the Rfam family "Bacterial small subunit ribosomal RNA". Lineage: Bacteria; Pseudomonadati; Pseudomonadota; Betaproteobacteria; Burkholderiales; Alcaligenaceae. The record is from RNAcentral.